RNAcentral lists this ribosomal RNA (491 nucleotides) under Anopheles maculipalpis. RNAcentral's name for it is "eukaryotic LSU rRNA". The stretch from base 1 to 93 matches the Rfam family "5.8S ribosomal RNA", at positions 66 to 154 of the family's 154-position model. Lineage: Eukaryota; Metazoa; Arthropoda; Insecta; Diptera; Culicidae. The record is from RNAcentral.
UGUGAACUGCAGGACACAUGAACACCGACACGUUGAACGCAUAUUGCGCAUCGGACGUUUAAACCCGACCGAUGCACACAUCCUUGAGUGCCUACCAAGUUAUCUAUAUUCUCCUACCAAACUGACUGUCCCAUCCACAAGCGAUGGGCUGUCGCAGCAUGGCGUGCUCGGACCCGCAACCUGACGGGACCGUGGGCGCUGAAAGUGAGAGUGCUAAUAGAAGACAUUGGUGAGGUACAAUUGGUGAGCGAUGAACGGGCGCGCGACAAGACGCAACGGUUCGACCUCCAGUAUCAACCAGGGAUGAAACCCCCGCAGCCUAACAGAUAACACCAGGCGCUAGCAAAGGGGUCCCAGGUUGGCUCGGUCGUGUAACACUUGCGUCCCAACGCGUCCUUCAUUAGUGAGCACUUAGGCACGGGCUAUACACCGGCCGCCAUAACAACAGUAGGCCUCAAGUGAUGUGUGACAACCCCCAGAAUUUAAGCAUA